This 442-nucleotide ribosomal RNA is filed under the name uncultured bacterium. RNAcentral describes it as "bacterial SSU rRNA". It matches the Rfam family "Bacterial small subunit ribosomal RNA", at positions 100 to 518 of the family's 1533-position model. The record is from RNAcentral.
CACGGGUGAGUAACGCGUAGAUAACCUGUCUUCAUGGUCUGGAACUAAUACGCCGAAAGGGGUACUAAUACCGGAUAUUCUUGCUUUUCAUAACGUUAUGCAAGCAAAGGUGGCCUCUGCAUAUGCUACUGCAUGAAGAGGGGUCUGCGUGCCAGUUAGCUAGUAGGUGGGGUAAUGGCCUACCUAGGCGACGAUGGUUAGCGGGUCUGAGAGGAUGAUCCGCCACACUGGCACUGGAACACGGGCCAGACUCCUACGGGAGGCAGCAGUGAGGAAUAUUGCGCAAUGGGGGAAACCCUGACGCAGCGACGCCGCGUGAGUGAAGGAAGGCCUUCGGGUCGUAAAGCUCUGUCAAGAGGAAAGAAGUGUACAAUGGCUAAUACCUGUUGUAUUUGACGGUACCUCUAAAGGAAGCACCGGCUAACUCCGUGCCAGCCGCUGC